CUGAAUACCCUGGUUCUGACAAAAACUCAGAAAAAAAAGAGCUGUUAGUAGAAGGUGACCAAAUGAAGCCCUGAAUCAUGUGACACCCUUCUUCUCUGCCCCGUGUGGAAACAGUCCUGGACUGAAGAUGCGUGACUAUUUGAAAGAGAAAAUAUCUUACUGAGAUGCAGAGUCCCAGUGCUGCAGCAUAGCCAAGACCUUUACUGGAACUCCAGGAGCUGAAGGUCAGAGGGGACAAUGCUGCUGCAUGCCACCAACUGCUCCUGCCUUUUGGACUCUUGCUGACUACAGCUAACUGCCAUGCCUCAGCCCUCAUUCCCCUCUUCAACUGUUAUGAGACCUGUGUCCCAUGUGCUUCCAUGUUCCUCUGAAGGAAGCUUCAAGAUAUUGUAAAAACCAGUCACCUGACUUUAGAAAACACCUGAGCCCAGAAUCAGCCCAGCACCAUGAGUCCAGCAAUGGUAUCUCAGGAAACCAGACCCUUCUGCCUACAAGGCUGACAUAGUGCUUUCUCCAGAACAUCUUAUUUGGUUCCAGGGGAAGUCAUUCACAAGACUCAGGAGGAGGCAAAGAGGUCAUCCAGAGGAGAGGCCUGGUUGGGAGUUCAGACUCAAAUUCAAAUCUCUGUAAUGUGGCUGGACUGCCCAGGGUAUGUGGACUGGGACCCAACUCUAUGUCUCAGCUUAUCUUCCUAUAAAAUAGAGGGAAAUGUGAGAGAUUUCUACCUCUAACAUAGCUCUAAAUUUUCACUAAAGUGCUUCCUCCUACCCACACUCUAUAACUGUCUCCUCAAACCCUCCCCUUCAAACCUCUGCCCAAAACCAAGAGAAAGUAUGAGGCAGAGAGAGUCUGCUUUCUUAAAGAUAGUAAGCAUGGAAAAGAAAGCUACUAGUGAAAUUUAAAUACAGAAUCUUUCCCUCCACUCACUUCUGUUCUAUUCUUUGGGAACACUGUCCACACAAUCCUAUCUAAUAAAAGGGUAAUAUGCAAAUUGACCAUCACUCCAACACACAAGAUGGCUGCCCCCAUGUAGUCAA
This is a long non-coding RNA of Eptesicus fuscus (big brown bat), 1037 nucleotides long. RefSeq lists it as uncharacterized. Lineage: Eukaryota; Metazoa; Chordata; Mammalia; Chiroptera; Vespertilionidae. The record is from RefSeq and is a predicted model, not a curated record. The transcript is spliced from 3 exons.